CCGGAAGUCAUUGCUAUCGGAGUCCGAUUUAGCCAUGCUAGUCGUGCGAGUUCAGACUCGCGGCAAAUAGCUCAGUAACACGUGGUCAAGCUACCCUACAGAGAACGAUAUCCUCGGGAAACUGAGGCCAAUAGUUCAUAAGGUUCCCACGCUGGAGUGCCGGGAACUGGAAACGUUCCGACGCUGUAGGAUGCGGCUGCGGUCGAUUAGGUAGACGGUGGGGUAACGGCCCACCGUGCCGAUAAUCGGUACGGGUUGUGAGAGCAAGAGCCCGGAGACGGAAUCUGAGACAAGAUUCCGGGCCCUACGGGGCGCAGCAGGCGCGAAACCUUUACACUGCACGCAAGUGCGAUAAGGGGACUCCGAGUGCGAGGGCAUAUAGUCCUCGCUUUUCUGUACCGUAGGAAGGUACAGGAACAAGAGCUGGGCAAGACCGGUGCCAGCCGCCGCGGUAAUACCGGCAGCUCGAGUGAUGACCGAUUUUAUUGGGCCUAAAGCGUCCGUAGCUGGCCAGACAAGUCUGUCGGGAAAUCCAUCCGCUCAACGGAUGGGCGUCCGGCGGAAACUCUCUGGCUUGGGACCGGAAGGCUCGAGGGGUACGUCUGGGGUAGGAGUGAAAUCCCGUAAUCCUGGACGGACCACCGAUGGCGAAAGCACCUCGAGAAGACGGAUCCGACAGUGAGGGACGAAAGCUAGGGUCUCGAACCGGAUUAGAUACCCGGGUAGUCCUAGCUGUAAACGAUGUUCGCUAGGUGUGGCACAGGCUACGAGCCUGUGCUGUGCCGUAGGGAAGCCGAGAAGCGAACCGCCUGGGAAGUACGUCCGCAAGGAUGAAACUUAAAGGAAUUGGCGGG
Molecule: ribosomal RNA, 854 nt
Filed under: Halopelagius sp.
Lineage: Archaea; Methanobacteriati; Methanobacteriota; Halobacteria; Halobacteriales; Haloferacaceae
Description: bacterial SSU rRNA
Rfam family: Archaeal small subunit ribosomal RNA
Source: RNAcentral